Long non-coding RNA from Syngnathus typhle (broad-nosed pipefish), 604 nucleotides. RefSeq lists it as uncharacterized. NCBI's taxonomy places the organism in Eukaryota, Metazoa, Chordata, Actinopteri, Syngnathiformes, Syngnathidae. The record is from RefSeq and is a predicted model, not a curated record. The transcript is spliced from 3 exons.
UAAUGCUAUCAAGACUACAGCAAAUACUCCAAUUGAUGUUAGCUUAACAAAUCCAUAUACUUUAAUGCAGUGUGUACUUUAACAAGGGGACUCCAGUCCCAUAGCCACCACCGAGAUGAUACAUAGAGACGUUACACCACGUAAUAAAGAUUAAAGUACCGAUAUCGCGGCUCAAGGCAUAAACGCUGUCUUACAUCUCCAUUUGAAAAGACGACGUGGUGACUGACUCAGAUUUCACAGGCACUGGAUUCUGGUGAUUUUAACCAGCGCUGAUCACAGAGGAGAAGUAAAGGGAGCUCAUGUUGCCUUGAAUGCUUCUAACACGAAGGCACGCUAAAUGCAUUCGGGCAGUUUGCAGAGAUGUUGUGAGACAACCCGAGACGUGCUCCAUCUUGUCGGCAUUCCGCAAGCCCAGAGAAACACUCCUGGAAAAUUCUUUGGCAAUCACAGAAGCAAGAAACUGGAGUACCUGAAGAAAAUCCAUGCAGGUACUUGGAGAACAUGCAGGAAGGCCAGAGCCCGGAUUUGAACCCGUGACCUGCACUAACCAAUCCACCCAGUACCACCCAGUGAUAUUUAAUAAAUUGUAUAUUUUGAAAAUGGU